Molecule: non-coding RNA, 148 nt
Organism: Pan troglodytes (chimpanzee)
Lineage: Eukaryota; Metazoa; Chordata; Mammalia; Primates; Hominidae
Rfam family: Metazoan signal recognition particle RNA
About the family: The signal recognition particle (SRP) is a universally conserved ribonucleoprotein. It is involved in the co-translational targeting of proteins to membranes. The eukaryotic SRP consists of a 300-nucleotide 7S RNA and six proteins: SRPs 72, 68, 54, 19, 14, and 9.
Source: Rfam
GCCGGGCGUGGUGGUGCAUGCCUGUAAUCCCAGCUACUCAGGAGGCUGAGGCAGAAGAAUCGCUUGAACUCAGGAGACGGAGGUUGCAGUGAGCCGAGAUCACACCACUGCACUCCAGCCUGGGUGACACAGCAAGACUCUGUCUCAA